Molecule: non-coding RNA, 100 nt
Organism: Acanthosepion pharaonis
Lineage: Eukaryota; Metazoa; Mollusca; Cephalopoda; Sepiida; Sepiidae
Source: the annotation of a GenBank genome assembly
GCCACGUUGAAAUAUCGGUUUCUGUGCGAUCUCCAAAGUUAAGCCACGCCGAGCCUGAUCAGUACAUAGAUAAGUGAACGCUUGGGAAUACCAGGUGCUU